AAUAAAAAUGUAAAAAAAACAAUUAUGAUUAAAAAACACUUUUGAAACAUUUUUUGUGAAUAUAAAAUUAUUUAUAAGUGACAAAAUAACUAACGAAGAGUUAUAAUAUAUAUAGAGAGGAAAAAUUCUAGCGGGUCAAAACCAAAAAGAUAUAAAAACACAACCAGAAAAAUAACCGUCAACACAAAGAGUAACCGUCAAUAUU
RNAcentral lists this long non-coding RNA (205 nucleotides) under Arabidopsis lyrata. RNAcentral describes it as "long non-coding RNA (ALYR_LNC003030)". The record is from RNAcentral. Lineage: Eukaryota; Viridiplantae; Streptophyta; Magnoliopsida; Brassicales; Brassicaceae.